GGAUCAUUAAAGAGUUUAAUAAAACUCCUAAACCCCUGUGAACUUACUGGUGUUUGGCUCGCCAGAUAUAGUCUGGUCCGUAAGCAAAUCGACUGCCUGCCUGUGUAACAGGCAGGUAAGCUUUUGUCGCGGGGUCCCGGAUCAACCCGGGCUAGAUAGCCACUUAACUAUAUACUUUUUAUAAAAUCUGUGAACUUACUAGGUUGGAUUCUCGCCAGAGAUAGUCUGGUUUCUGCCACGCAGAUCGACUGCCUGCCUGUGACACCUGUCACAGGUAGGUAAGCUUUUGCCGCGGGUCCGCAUGUAAAUCGUCUGUUUCACAAGGGACGGCGAUUUACCUGUGGAAGAGGUCCGCUAACUAUAUUCUUAGUAUAGUUUGUUCACUAGAUCAAACAUUCUGAAUAAAAACUUAAACUAGUUAAAACUUUCAACAACGGAUCUCUUGGUUCUGGCAUCGAUGAAGAACGCAGCGAAAUGCGAUAAGUAAUGUGAAUUGCAGAAUUCAGUGAAUCAUCGAAUCUUUGAACGCACAUUGCGCCCAUUAGUAUUCUAGUGGGCAUGCCUGUUCGAGCGUCAUUUCAACCCUUAAGCCCCUGUUGCUUAGCGUUGGGAGCCUACAGCCUGCUGUAGCUCCUUAAAGGUAGUGGCGGAGUCGGUUCACACUCUAGACGUAGUAAAAUCUUUAUCUCGCCUAUGGAUGAGCCGGCGCCUUGCCGUAAAACCCCUAAUCUUUCACAAGGUUGACCUCGGAUCAGGUAGGAAUACCCGCUGAACUUAAGCAUAUCAAUAAGCGGAGGAAAAGAAACCAACAGGGAUUGCCCUAGUAACGGCGAGUGAAGCGGCAACAGCUCAAAUUUGAAAUCUGGCCUUCGGGUCCGAGUUGUAAUUUGCAGAGGAUGCUUUGGGCGCGGUGCCUUCCGAGUUCCCUGGAACGGGACGCCUUAGAGGGUGAGAGCCCCGUACGGUUGGACACCAAGCCUCUGUAAAGCUCCUUCGACGAGUCGAGUAGUUUGGGAAUGCUGCUCUAAAUGGGAGGUAAAUUUCUUCUAAAGCUAAAUAUUGGCCAGAGACCGAUAGCGCACAAGUAGAGUGAUCGAAAGAUGAAAAGCACUUUGAAAAGAGGGUUAAAUAGCACGUGAAAUUGUUGAAAGGGAAGCGUUUGCGACCAGACCUUUUCCCAGCGGAUCAUCCGGUGUUCUCACCGGUGCACUUCGCUGGGUUGAGGCCAGCAUCGGUUUCCGCAGGGGGAUAAAAGCCUGGGGAACGUAGCUCCCUCGGGAGUGUUAUAGCCCCUCGCAUAAUACCCUUGCGGGGACCGAGGACCGCGCU
RNAcentral lists this ribosomal RNA (1329 nucleotides) under Xylaria sp. genotype 330. RNAcentral's name for it is "eukaryotic LSU rRNA". The stretch from base 742 to 1329 matches the Rfam family "Eukaryotic large subunit ribosomal RNA", at positions 1 to 599 of the family's 3401-position model. Lineage: Eukaryota; Fungi; Ascomycota; Sordariomycetes; Xylariales; Xylariaceae. The record is from RNAcentral.